AGUUUGAAAUGAAAGGUUCUAUCCCAGCCAUCACCAAAUGGCGGGCCGCGGUCCGAGUCCGGACGUGACGUGAUCCUAUCCGGACCCAGACCAUAAUAGCCUAAUUUAGAUUUUCACGUAAGAUUUCAAAGCUGCGCUAAAUGUUUCGUUGGUUAGGAUAACAGCAUUUACUUCAGGAGCUUCA
Alosa sapidissima (American shad) is the source of this 184-nucleotide long non-coding RNA. RefSeq lists it as uncharacterized. Lineage: Eukaryota; Metazoa; Chordata; Actinopteri; Clupeiformes; Clupeidae. The transcript has 3 exons. The record is from RefSeq and is a predicted model, not a curated record.